UGGAGGAAGCCGCUAGCAAAAUUGCGAGCUGAUGAACAAAAACAUCAUAUUAGGCGUAGGCUGAAGACGAGUUAGCACAAGAUAACGAAGUCACGUGAUCUAACGGCCACCGUAAAUGAUGCAGUUGUGCAAUGAAAGUUAAUGUU
Molecule: non-coding RNA, 146 nt
Organism: Catenovulum agarivorans DS-2
Lineage: Bacteria; Pseudomonadati; Pseudomonadota; Gammaproteobacteria; Alteromonadales; Alteromonadaceae
Source: Rfam